CAGAGUUCCUGCCCUCACGGGUAGAAACCCCACCCUUGUAUAUACUAUAUUGUUGCUUUGGCAGGCCGCCUCACGGCGUUGGCUCACGUUGACUGUGCCUGCCAGAGGACCCCAAAUUCUGAAUUAUAGUGUCGUCUGAGAACUAUAUAAUAGUUA
RNAcentral lists this unclassified non-coding RNA (156 nucleotides) under uncultured Hymenoscyphus. RNAcentral describes it as "sequence contains ITS1". Lineage: Eukaryota; Fungi; Ascomycota; Leotiomycetes; Helotiales; Helotiaceae. The record is from RNAcentral.